This 421-nucleotide ribosomal RNA is filed under the name uncultured bacterium. RNAcentral's name for it is "bacterial SSU rRNA". It matches the Rfam family "Bacterial small subunit ribosomal RNA", at positions 358 to 796 of the family's 1533-position model. The record is from RNAcentral.
GGAAUAUUGGACAAUGGGCGCAAGCCUGAUCCAGCCAUGCCGCGUGAGUGAUGAAGGCCCUAGGGUUGUAAAGCUCUUUCACCGGUGAAGAUAAUGACGGUAACCGGAGAAGAAGCCCCGGCUAACUUCGUGCCAGCAGCCGCGGUAAUACGAAGGGGGCUAGCGUUGUUCGGAAUUACUGGGCGUAAAGCGCACGUAGGCGGAUCGUUAAGUGAGGGGUGAAAUCCCAGGGCUCAACCCUGGAACUGCCUUUCAUACUGGCGAUCUUGAGUUCGAGAGAGGUGAGUGGAAUUCCGAGUGUAGAGGUGAAAUUCGUAGAUAUUCGGAGGAACACCAGUGGCGAAGGCGGCUCACUGGCUCGAUACUGACGCUGAGGUGCGAAAGCGUGGGGAGCAAACAGGAUUAGAUACCCCGGUAGUCC